This 440-nucleotide ribosomal RNA is filed under the name uncultured Anaeroplasma sp. RNAcentral describes it as "bacterial SSU rRNA". It matches the Rfam family "Bacterial small subunit ribosomal RNA", at positions 341 to 792 of the family's 1533-position model. Lineage: Bacteria; Bacillati; Mycoplasmatota; Mollicutes; Anaeroplasmatales; Anaeroplasmataceae. The record is from RNAcentral.
ACGGGAGGCAGCAGUAGGGAAUUUUCGGCAAUGGACGGAAGUCUGACCGAGCAACGCCGCGUGAACGAAGGAAUACUUCGGUAUGUAAAGUUCUUUUAUAGGGGACGAAAAGACAGAUUGACUGUACCCUAUGAAUAAGCUCCGGCUAACUACGUGCCAGCAGCCGCGGUAAUACGUAGGGAGCGAGCGUUAUCCGGAUUUAUUGGGCGUAAAGGGUGCGUAGAUGGCACAUUAAGUUUCUUGUUAAAAUGCUUGGCUCAACCAAGUAGUGCAAGAGAUACUGAUGAGCUAGAGUAUGGAAGAGGCAAGUGGAACUCCAUGUGUAGCGGUAAAAUGCGUAAAUAUAUGGAAGAACACCAGUGGCGAAGGCGGCUUGCUGGUCCAAUACUGACAUUGAGGCACGAAAGCGUGGGGAGCAAACAGGAUUAGAUACCCUGGUA